UUUGAGUGAAAUCCAAUCUCUAGAACUAUACAAUACACCAACUACCCCAUUUCAGAACGAACUUCGUUGGAACCUGAAUAGUCCGAUUUCAAGGACCAGUCGAUAUCGGAUUGAGUCCAAAACUUGGGGAACAUCAUAAUAUUGUGGGAGGAGUCAUUUGGUGGCUUUUGAGUGAAAUCCAAUCUUUAGAACUAUACAAUACACCAACCACCCCAUUUCAGAACGAACUUCGUACGAACCUGAAUUGUCCAAUUUCAAGGACCAACAGAUAUCGGAUUGAGUCCGAAACUUGGGGAACAUCAUAAUAUUGGGGAGUUGUCAUUUGGUGGGUUUUGAGUGAAAUCCAAUCCCUAGAACUAUACAAUACACCAAAAACUUCAUUUCAGAAAAAACUUGUUGAGCCUAUUGUUAACAACUAAAAUGAGUUAUUAAAAACAGCAACUUUAAUUCUCGCAAGUGCACGAACCGUUUAUAGUAUAGCUUAUGUAAAUACGAGGUCGAUCCCACGGAGAAUGGUAACUUGGUUCCAAGUUAAAUUACUUAGAAUGUUAGAAAAAUAUAGAACAAAGAAACUGACUAACUAGCUAAAGGCAUGGUCGAAUUCAACAAUGCCUCUUGCUAAUUACUCAAGGUCUAGGACAGAAUCCUAGCACCACACACGCACUCGAAAUGGGGGGUUUUUUUGUUGAAAUGAAAACAAGAAAGUGAAAUGAAAGUGCUCGAAAGUGAACACUGGCAGCAAUCAACAAGUUGUGAAACAAUGAUUGAGAGGUGUUAGAGCCUUGGAAUCCACCACUAGUUUUCCUAUCCAAGUUAUGAAUGCAUAGAAAUUGACUCAAGCUUCAUUAGCAAUAGAUUAUCGCAUACAAGCCUAUGGUAUCUAGGUGCAGGAUGCAUGAUUCUCCUAAGGCAUGUGAUUAUGCAUGGUAUCUACACAACACGUGAUCUCUAAUAUGCAACCUAAGCAUGGUAUCUACUUAGAAUAAAGCAUACAAGAGUCAUUAAGCUCCUUGAGAAUAUGAUAAUCACACAAGUCCUAGAACAUGGUAUCUGUCCUAGUCAACCUAUGGUUAUUAACCCCUUGAAUGAUUCUUAGGCCAUUCAUGUGUUGCUUGUGAAAGGAGAGUAGAAUUGGUGAAUCUAAACCCCUUCCCAACCUGUGCUAGAUGCAUAAAAUCCUAGUUAGCUACUCCAAGAGAACAUACAUCAAGCACAUAAUAAACUAGAGAUUAACAACUUAAUAAUAAAAGCAAGGAAAUCAAUUAACUAUAAAAUCAUCCAUAACAUUGAAUAUUCAUGACUAGGGCUUCACCCUAAGCCCUAACUAAAUGGAUUAGUUAGACAUAACUAUGAAUACAGAAAAUAAGAAAUACAUAGAUAGGAUAAAGAGACGAGAAGAACUAGAUGAUGGGAGCAAGGAAGUUCCCAGGACAGCUCCAAGCUCCCUUCUCUCUUUGUGGUGAAUCUGAAUGUGUAUAUGAAAGUAAUGGAUGAAAUGAAUGUGUGUGUCUGCCCUCUCUCCCCUUGAAAGAGUGUGCAACUCUCUAUUUAUAGAGUGCAAUUUCGUGCUCCCCUUUGGCUGGUGAAGCACACCUCUCUUAGCUGCUGCCAACUGCUCUAGCUGCCCAUACAUGCCUGUUGCUCCAGCUGCCCAUACUUGCCUGUUGCUCCAGCUGCCCAUACUUGCCUGUUGGACUUUUCUUGGUUUUUGAGUUCCCAUACUGAUUUGUCUCCCAUGUGUGGCUGCUCUAAUGUGUAGCACAUGGCUCUAGGGAUGUAGCCACAUUAAAUAUGAUGGCAGCCAACAUGACAUUUCUGCGAACUUGGUUCAGUCUUUGACGUGUUGAGGGCUCCAGUUGUAUCCAAUUGGGCUGAACUUUGGAUAUGUUAUAAUAGACGCCCAUUGGAACAACGUCUAUGAAGGAUGUCUCCUCAUCUGACCUGUGUAAGUUACUGAAAUGAGGCCUGCAAGAUGACCUACGAAACUGGACUGACAAGGAGUGUGGCACAAAUUGGUUUUGUCUUUAAGCUCAUAUUCCACUUGUGCCACUCAGCCCUUAACAUGCAUGAAUUGUAUCAAAUGUCAUCCCCUUGCUAUAUUAACCUACAAAGCACACAAACAUAGGUAAGAGACUCAAAAUAAAGAGAAGCUAACAAAAUUACUAAGGAAAGAAGGCAUGCAAAUGUGUGAAAUUAUGAACUUAUCAAAUACCCCAAAACUUAGAUUUUGCUAGUCCUCGAGCAAAACAAAAUAAAACUACAACUUAGGAAACAGGAAAUAAGCAACUAGCCUUCCAAACAAUAUCCUCAAAGAAUCAUCAGUGUAAAUGGUUCCAAAGAAACACAACAAUCACAAUCUAAGUUCCACACAUGAUUCACGAGAAAGCAAAGCUAGCAUUGACACCCUUAAGUGUAGUGUGUGAAUGCCAAAUCCGAACAACACCUGCAUCUCAAAUAAGUACAUGUGCACACACUUAGAGCAAAAUCAAGAAUUCCGAACCCCAUAAGCUCAUUAUCCAAUCUGCUCUCCACAGUAAUACCAUGCAACACCAAGGAUCAAAAGGACUUUACAAGGGUAGUAAUGAGGUUUAGGGUAGUGGUUGAAUGAAAGAAGGGAUAUGAGAUAUACAAUAUUUUGAGCACACUUAAAGCACAGGUAAGAGCAUAAGAGAGUACUGAACUUUGUAACAAGCAAGGAACACAUACAUGAGCAGAUUUUCAACAUAAUUUCAGCACCUUGAAAUGUGUUUAUUUGGCCUAAUUUUGUGGCUCUUUACCCUAGAUCACAAUGAUGUUCUCCUUAUAACACCCUAGGGCCGUGACUACAUUGGUCACACUUCAUUACCUCUUUUGAUUAGUUACCAAUACCCCCAAACUUAUUUCUUUUCAACACUUGGGUUACGGCACCAAUUAUUCACUUUUGCUCUAUAAACCUUGCAUUCUUUAUAACUCUCUUUUGAAGAUAACUUUAAUUGCUCAUACAAUAAGUAAGGAUAAGAAAACAGAGGCUCAUUAUGGUAGGAUUCAUUUACACAAAGAAAGGCUUAACGUAGGCUCAAAUGGGAUGACUAGGGAUGAAUACAUGUAGAGGGAUGGUUAGAAAGGCUCAAACGGUUCAAACAUGGCCUAAAUCACUUCCUAAGCAUUGUAUGGCAACAAAAUGUCUCAAGAAAUAUUCAAAUAAGUUCUAGAGUACGAAACCAAGAUCAUGAGAUAACUAGAAUUGCAUAACGUCUCUAAGUAGCAAGAUGUUGGACUAACUUGGCAAAGUGCUCAAUAAGUGCAAGGAUGGCAUGCAGGACAAAGUUAACUUAGAAUCACACGCAGACCUUAAACAAUGACUAUCAAUUUCUGAAAAACCAUAAUAGUAUUAAAUCUAAGUCUUUAUCAUAGGUGUUUGGAAGGAUAACGAAACAACACACAAAAUCCUGCGUUUUUAGACAGUAGACACACUCAAAAAUUUUAAAAUUUGACAAUUUGAAACAGCAUAACUAAAUCCUUCCCCCCAAACUUAAAUGAAACAUUGUCCUCAAUGUUUAGAGUGUAAGAAAAAGCAAUGCCUCAUUAAUGAAAGGAAAGAAGACAAGGGAAAGACAUAACCAAAGGUUAGAUUUCAGAAAAACUCCCCUUUGAAGCGAUUAGGAUGCAAGCAAGCUUCCUCGCAUAUUCUAUCUUCUCCUCAUCACCUUGGGUUGCCUCCCAAGAAGCGCUAAGUUUCACGUCGUCAGCCGGACGUCCAAACUCUGGUGAGCUUUAAGAGAGUGGUGGAGGCUCCUUGAGUGCUUGAGACUCAAUAUUGGCAUCAAAGUUGGCAUCGAAGUAAGGUUUCAACCGAUGUCCAUUCACCUUGAAGGUGCUGCCAUCCUUAAUGUUUUGAAUCUCCACUGCGCCAUGAUUAAACACAUUAGUAAUAACAAAAGGGCCAAUCCACCGAGAACAAAGCUUACCUGGGAAGAGCUUAAGGCGUGAAUUGAAUAAGAGAACCUUCUGCCCUUUCUCAAACGUCUUCCUAAGAAUUUUCUUGUCGUGAUAUUGCUUUGUUUUCUCCUUGUAAAGCUUCGCAUUCUUAUACGCUUCAUGUCUCAACUCCUCCAGCUCAUUGAGUUGAAGCCUCCUCUUCUCACCAGCGGCUUUCAUAUCAAAAUUGAAGGCCUUGAUUGCCCAAUAAGCCCUGUGCUCAAGCUCCACUGGUAAGUGACAAGGUUUACCGAAAAUAAGUCUAUACGGAGACAUACCUAUAGGGGUCUUAUAAGCAGUCCUAUAAGCCCACAAUGCAUCAUCCAAACGCAUGGACCAAUCCUUCCUUGUGGUGUUCACUGUCUUUUCAAGUAUGUACUUAAUCUCCCUAUUGCUUAUAUCAACCUGCCCACUAGUUUGAGGAUGAUAGGGUGUUGCCACCUUAUGCGUGAUUCCAUAUCUCUUCAAGAGUGCUGCAAAAGCUUGGUUAACAAAGUGGGAGCCACCAUCACUAAUGAUUGCUCUAGGUGUGCCAAACCUUGUAAAAAUAUUUCCUUUGAGAAAACCGAUCACAACUUUAGCAUCAUUAGUUCUAGUGGCAAUGGCUUCCACCCAUUUAGAAACAUAAUCGACAGAAACUAAUAUAUAUUCAAAUCCAUAAGAGGUAGGAAAAGGGCCCAUGAAAUCAAUUCCCCAAACAUCAAAUAUAUCAAUGAUUAAGAUAUUGGUGAGAGGCAUCUGGUUUCUAGCAUGUAAAUUACCCAUCCGUUGGCAUCUAUCACAUGAAGCACAAAAAACAUAAGCAUCCUUAAAAAGGGUAGGCCAAAAGAAACCUGAUUGUAGCACCUUGCUGGCAGUCUUCUUUGCUCCAAAAUGGCCUCCGCAUGCGUGGGAGUGACAAAACUCCAGAAUGCUCUUAAAAUCACCUUCAGGCACACACCUUCGAAUUACUUGGUCUGGACAAUGCUUGAAUAGAUAGGGAUCAUCCCAAAAGUAGUAUCUUGCUUGCUUCCUAAGCUUGUCACGUUGGAACGUAGAUAACCCUGUAGGGAGUUCGUUAGUGCACAAAUAGUUAACAAUAUCAGCAAACCAAGGCAAUGGAUUGAGAGAAUUCAAAGCACAAAUGGAGAAGAGUUGCUCAUCAGGGAAGCUUUCACGCAAUGGCAAUGAAUCCUCCUCUUCGUUAGAUACAUGCACCAAUCUACUCAAGUGAUCAGCCACGACAUUCUCACUUCCUUUCUUAUCUUUUAUCUCCAAGUCAAACUCUUGCAACAAGAGAAUCCAUCUAAUGAGUCGCGGUUUGGCAUCCUUCUUAGCUAACAAGUAUUUCAAUGCUGCAUGAUCAGUGUAAACAAUAACCUUGUUAGUAAUCAAAUAUGAUCUAAACUUCUCUAAAGCAAAUAUGACGGCUAACAACUCCUUCUCUGUGGUGGAAUAGUUGAGUUGGGCAUCGUUGAGGGUUCUACUAGCAUAGUAGAUGGCAUGUGGCUUCUUAUCAACUCGCUGUCCCAAAACAGCUCCAACAACAUAAUCUGAGGCAUCACACAUCAAUUCAAAGGGCAAGCUCCAAUCCGGUGGUAUAAUGACUGGGGCAGUUGUGAGCAUCUUCUUCAAAGCAUUGAAAGCAUUCUCACAGUCUUGAUCAAACACAAAAUCCAUGUCCUUGGCAAGGAGAUUGCACAUAGGCCUUGCAAUCUUAGAAAAAUCCUUAAUGAAACGCCUAUAGAAACCUGCAUGGCCAAGGAAAGAACGUACUUCUUUGACAGAAGUAGGUGAGGGCAUAGAGGCAAUCAAAUCAAUCUUAGCUUUAUCUACCUCAAUUCCUUUACUAGAGAUGACAUGACCAAGAACUAUGCCUUGGUUAACAAUAAAAUGACAUUUUUCCCAAUUAAGCACAAGGUUAGUAUGUUCACAUCUAGCCAACACCUUGGAUAAGUUAUGCAAGCAUUGAUCAAAAGAAUCACCAAAGACAGAGAAGUCAUCCAUGAAUACCUCAAUGAACCUUUCUACCAUGUCGGAGAAAAUGCUCAUCAUGCACCUUUGAAAAGUGGCUGGGGCGUUACAGAGACCAAAAGGCAUCCUCCUAUAGGCGAAAGUGCCAAAGGGACAUGUGAACGUGGUCGAUCCGCAGGCCGUGCAGCUAUGGCGAUUUGGUUGUAGCCUGAAUAUCCAUCAAGGAAGCAAUAGUGGCUAUGCCCAGCUAAUCUCUCAAGCAUUUGAUCAAUGAAUGGAAGAGGAAAGUGAUCUUUGCUUGUUGCUGUGUUGAGCUUCCUAUAAUCAAUGCAAACUCUCCAGCCCGUGGUCAUCCGUGUAGGUACAAGCUCGUUUGCUUCAUUCUUCACCACUGUGAUACCUGACUUCUUGGGGACAACUUGCACUGGGCUCACCCAUUGACUGUCAGAAAUAGGGUAAAUAAUACCAACAUUUAAAAGCUUCAUUACCUCUUUUCUUACCACCUCCUUCAUGUUUGGAUUGAGACGUCUUUGGGCAUCCCUCUUAGGCAUUGCAUUGUCUUCCAAUAAUAUCUUGUGCAUGCACAGUGUUGGGCUUAUGCCUUUGAUAUUUGCAAUGCUCCACCCAAUCGCAGUUUUGUGCUCUUUUAGAACUCUCAAAAGCUUCUUUUCAUCAUUUGGUCCGAGAUGUGAGGCAAUGAUAACAGGUAGAGUCUCAUUUUCACCUAAAUAAGCAUAUUUAAGGUGUUUUGGCAAUUGCUUUAAUUCCAACUCUGGUGCCUGCACAAUAGAAGGUAAAACCUUAUUAGUAGGUGGGGGUAAUGAUUCAAAUUGGUUUGCAUACCUCUUUCCAAUUUCUAUGUAGCUAUCCAUGCUGCAAACAAGCUCAAGAAGUAAAAAGAUCACAGCCUCAAAGCUGUCCACUUCUUCUUUCCUUAUGCUUUGUGUGAUGCAUGCUUCAAUGGGCUCCAAAUAACUCAUUGGCAGUGCUUCUUUCACCAUAGUAUCAAUUGCAUCAAGAUGGAAAACUUCAUGCUCAUCACUUGGAAACUUGGAGGCUUCAAACACUUUGAAUGCUAUUGUCUCAUCAAACACAUUCAUGGUCAAUGUACCCUUCUUCACAUCAAUAAUAGCACCGGCAGUUGCCAUGAAUGGCCGACCUAGAAUGAGUGGUAACUGAUUGUCAUGAAUUGGUGCUUCUUCCAUCUCCAACACCAAGAAAUCUGCUGGCAAAAUUAGCUCUUCCACUUUCACCAAAACAUCUUCUAGAAUGCCCUUAGGGUACCUAAUAGUUCUAUCUGCCAAUUGAAUGCUCACAGAUGUGGCUUGCAACUCACCAAGGUUAAGUUUCUCAUAAACAUGAUAUGGCAUAAGAUUUAUAGAAGCACCAAGAUCAAGCAAAGCUUUUUGAAACUUAAAAUCACCAACUAUGCAAGGUAUAGAAAACGAACCUGGAUCCUUUAGCUUUGGAGGCAGGUUUCUUUGUAACACUGCACUUACCUCUUCACUCAAUGCAACUUGUUCAUGCUCUUUGAAUCUCCUCUUGUUAGUGCAUAGAUCCUUCAAAAAAUUUGCAUACUUUGGAAUCUGAGUAAUGGCAUUGAGCAAUGGGAUGUUGAUUUGCACCUUCUUGAAUGUUUCCAUUAUCUCAUCCAAGCCUUGAUCUUUCUUUGACUUUGAUAACCUGCUGGGAAAGGGUGCAAUAGGCCUAAAAGCAUUAGUUGAAAUUGGAACUUGAUUAGCAUUAGAUGAUACCUUAGGGCCUGUGCUCUUUCCAGGAGCAUUGAUGGACUGAUUGUUGGAAGCUGUGGGCUGCCCAUGUGGUGGCUGAAUGAUCUCCACGUUUUCUCCAUCUUCUUGUUCUUCAUUGGCAUCUCCAACCUUAUUAUCAACUUGUUUACCACUUCUCAAGAUGUGUACUGCUUUAGCAUGCUCUUGAUGCCUUGGAUUCACCUCCGUUUGGCUUGGGAAAGUUCCGGAUGCUCUAUUGCUCAUGGAGGAUGCAAUCUGCCCAACUUGCACUUCUAGUUUGUUCACUGCAUUUUGAAGAUUCUGAUUGGUUUGCAUCUGUUGCCCCAUGAACUUCUUGAACAUGUCUUGCAAUUCUCCCAUUUGAUCACCCCUUUGCUCUUGCACUUGUUGCGGAGCUUGUUGGAAUUGCCUUUGUUGUGUUUGGAAUCCUGGGGGAGGUCCUUGAGAUUGUUGCACAUUUGAAUUGUUGCUCCACCUGAAAUUAGGAUGAUUUCUCCACCCCGGAUUGUAUGUGUUUGAGUAAGGAUCAUUAUUAGGAUUCCUUGCUUGAAGGGAAUUUGCUUGUUCUAGCAUGUGCUCCGCAAAAGAUUGGUCUACAAACUUCCACUUUGUUUCCUAGAGGGCCAGUCACUGCCUGUUGAAGCAAAGAACACAUAACAUCAAGUUUUGCAGCAAUUUCAUUAUUAGUACUUACCUCAGAGACCACAGCUUUCAUAGGAGCUCCUCUUCCUUUAUUGUGGCUCCAUUGUUGAGAGUUAGCACUCAAGGAUUCAAAGAGAGUAAAAGCCUCAUCUGCUGUUUUGUUCAUCAGUCCUUCUCCACUUGUUGAAUCUACCAUCAUCCUUUCGGAAUCAAGUAAACCUUCAUAGAAAGAUUGCAUUUGCAUCCAACUCUCUAUGUUGUGGUGUGGGCAAGAACUUAUCAUCUCCUUGUACCUCUCCCAACAUUCAUGAAAAGCUUCUCCUUCCUUUUGUGUGAAACCAAGAAUUUCCUUUCUAAUCUUGUUAGUCUUUUGAGCCGGAAAAAAUUUCUGCAAAAACUUAUUAGAAAGCUCUUCCCAAGUAUGAAUUGAAGCAUUAGGAAAAGAGUAUAACCAAGACUUAGCUUUAUCUUUUAAACUGAAUGGGAAUAGCCUCAUCUUAAUCUGCUCAUCAUCAAGGUUUUGAAUUUUGAUCGUAGCACAUAUUUCAAAGAAUUGCUUAAUAUGCAUGUAAGGAUCCUCAGUGGUAUUACCAUAAUAAGUUGGAAGAAGAUGAAUCAUACCACUUUUAAGCUCAAACCUGUCAACUGUGAGUUGAGGAUAGACGAUGCAUAAAGGUUGAUCGGUGACUUUGGGAAUGGAAAACUCACGCAGGGAUUUUCUUGGUUGGACAACAAGCACACCACCUCCUUCAUCAUUGUUGUUGUUCGAAAUCUCUACCAUGUUGCUUGAACCUUCAGAUUCGUAACUUUUAGAUUCAACGCUUGAAGAACUAUAGUUCUUCCUCAAACCAGCAUGCACAGCAGCGGUUCUUGGUGAAAGUGGCUCAGGUGAACUUUGCUCCUGGUCAGAUUCGGACAUGCACACACCAAGGAAGUCAAUUCAGUGCCUUCAAUGGAGAUAACAACAAAAUACAAAACUGAAUACUAAAAGAAAAACCAACGAAAAGAAACAAAUGAAAUAAACAAAAACAAAACAAUCAAAGUAAUCUAACUAUAGCACCAUCAUUACCGGUUCCCCGGCAACGGCGCCAAAAACUUGUUGAGCCUAUUGUUAACAACUAAAAUGAGUUAUUAAAAACAGCAACUUUAAUUCUCGCAAGUGCACGAACCGUUUAUAGUAUAGCUUAUGUAAAUACGAGGUCGAUCCCACGGAGAGUGGUAACUUGGUUCCAAGUUAAAUUACUUAGAAUGUUAGAAAAAUAUAGAACAAAGAAACUGACUAACUAGCUAAAGGCAUGGUCGAAUUCAACAAUGCCUCUUGCUAAUUACUCAAGGUCUAGGACAGAAUCCUAGCACCACACACGCACUCGAAAUGGGGGGUUUUGUUGUUGAAAUGAAAACAAGGAAGUGAAAUGAAAGUGCUCGAAAGUGAACACUGGUAGCAAUCAACAAGUUGUGAAACAAUGAUUGAGAGGUGUUAGAGCCUUGGAAUCCACCACUAGUUUUCCUAUCCAAGUUAUGAAUGCAUAGAAAUUGACUCAAGCUUCAUUAGCAAUAGAUUAUCGCAUACAAGCCUAUGGUAUCUAGGUGCAGGAUGCAUGAUUCUCCUAAGGCAUGUGAUUAUGCAUGGUAUCUACACAACACGUGAUCUCUAAUAUGCAACCUAAGCAUGGUAUCUACUUAGAAUAAAGCAUACAAGAGUCAUUAAGCUCCUUGAGAAUAUGAUAAUCACACAAGUCCUAGAACAUGGUAUCUGUCCUAGUCAACCUAUGGUUAUUAACCCCUUGAAUGAUUCUUAGGCCAUUCAUGUGUUGCUUGUGAAAGGAGAGUAGAAUAGGUGAAUCUAAACCCCUUCCCAACCUAUGCUAGAUGCAUAAAAUCCUAGUUAGCUACUCCAAGAGAACAUACAUCAAGCACAUAAUAAACUAGAGAUUAACAACUUGAUAAUAAAAGCAAGGAAAUCAAUUAACUAUAAAAUCAUCCAUAACAUUGAAUAUUCAUGACUAGGGCUUCAUCCUAAGCCCUAACUAAAUGGAUUAGUUAGACAUAACUAUGAAUACAGAAAAUAAGAAAUACAUAGAUAGGAUAAAGAGACGAGAAGAACUAGAUGAUGGGAGCAAGGAAGUUCCCAGGACAGCUCCAAGCUCCCUUCUCUCUUUGUGGUGAAUCUGAAUGUGUGUAUGAAAGUAAUGGAUGAAAUGAAUGUGUGUGUCUGCCCUCUCUCCCCUUGAAUGAGUGUGCAACUCUCUAUUUAUAGAGUGCAAUUUCGUGCUCCCCUUUGGCUGGUGAAGCACACCUCUCUUAGCUGCUGCCAACUGCUCUAGCUGCCCAUACAUGCCUGUUGCUCCAGCUGCCCAUACUUGCCUGUUGGACUUUUCUUGGUUUUUGAGUUCCCAUACUGAUUUGUCUCCCAUGUGUGGCUGCUCUAAUGUGUAGCACAUGGCUCUAGGGAUGUAGCCACAUUAAAUAUGAUGGCAGCCAACACGAUAUUUCUGUGAACUUGGUUCAGUCUUUGACGUGUUGAGGGCUCCAGUUUUAUCCAAUUGGGCUGAAAUUUGGAUAUGUUAUAAUAGACACCCAUUGGAACAACGUCUAUGAAGGAUGUCUCCUCAUCCGACCUGUGUAAGUUACUGAAAUGAGGCCUGCAAGAUGACCUACGAAACUGGACUGACAAGGAGUGUGGCACAAAUUGGUUUUGUCUUUAAGCUCAUAUUCCUCUUGUGCCACUCAGCCCUUAACAUGCAUGAAUUGUAUCAAAUGUCAUCCCCUUGCUAUCUUAACCUACAAAGCACACAAACAUAGGUAAGAGACUCAAAAUAAAGAGAAGCUAACAAAAUUACUAAGGAAAGAAGGCAUGCAAAUGUGUGAAAUUAUGAACUUAUCAAAUACCCCCAAACUUAGAUUUUGCUAGUCCUCGAGCAAAACAAAAUAAAACUACAACUUAGGAAACAGGAAAUAAGCAACUAGCCUUCCAAACAAUAUCCUCAAAGAAUCAUCAGUGUAAAUGGUUCGAAAGAAACACAACAAUCACAAUCUAAGUUCCACACAUGAUUCACGAGAAAGCAAAGCUAGCAUUGACACCCUUAAGUGUAGUGUGUGAAUGCCAAAUCCGAACAACACCUGCAUCUCAAAUAAGUACAUGUGCACACACUUAGAGCAAAAUCAAGAAUGCCGAACCCCAUAAGCUCAUUAUUCAAUCUGCUCUCCAUAGUAAUACCAUGCAACACCAAGGAUCAAAAGGAGUUUACAAGGGUAGUAAUGAGGUUUAGGGUAGUGGUUGAAUGAAAGAAGGGAUAUGAGAUAUACAAUAUUUUGAGCACACUUAAAGCACAGGUAAGAGCAUAAGAGAGUACUGAACUUUGUAACAAGCAAGGAACACAUACAUGAGCAGAUUUUCAACAUAAUUUCAGCACCUUGAAAUGUGUUUAUUUGGCCUAAUUUUGUGGCUCUUACCCUAGAUCACAUUGAAAUGUGNNNNNNNNNNNNNNNNNNNNNNNNNNNNNNNNNNNNNNNNNNNNNNNNNNNNNNNNNNNNNNNNNNNNNNNNNNNNNNNNNNNNNNNNNNNNNNNNNNNNNNNNNNNNNNCUCCUCGCUCAUUGCGACAGUAGUGUAUUUCAACACUUGGGUUACGGCACCAAUUAUUCACUUUUGCUCAAUAAACCUUGCAUUCUUUAUAACUCUCUUUUGAAGAUAACUUUAAUUGCUCAUACAAUAAGUAAGGAUAAGAAAACAGAGGCUCAUUAUGGUAGGAUUCGUUUACACAAAGAAAGGCUUAACAUAGGCUCAAAUGGGAUGACUAGGGAUGAAUACAUGUAGAGGGAUGGUUAGAAAGGCUCAAACGGUUCAAACAUGGCCUAAAUCACUUCCUAAGCAUUGUAUGGCAACAAAAUGUCUCAAGAAAUAUUCAAAUAAGUUCUAGAGUACGAAACCAAGAUCAUGAGAUAAGUCCGAUUUCAAGGACCAAUCGAUAUCAGAACGAACUUCGUUGGAACCUGAAUAGUCCGAUUUCAAGGACCAAUCGAUAUCGGAUUGAGUCCAAAACUUGGGGAACAUCAUAAUAUUGUGGGAGGAGUCAUUUGGUGGCUUUUGAGUGAAAUCCAAACUUUAGAACUAUACAAUACACCAACCACCCCAUUUCAGAACGAACUUCGUACGAACCUGAAUUGUCCGAUUUCAAGGACCAAUCGAUAUCGGAUUGAGUCCAAAACUUGGGGAACAUCAUAAUAUUGUGGGAGUUGUCAUUUGGUGGGUUUUGAGUGAAAUCCAAUCCCUAGAACUAUACAAUACACCAAAAACUUCAUUUCAGAACGAACUUCGUACGAACUUGAAUUGUCUGAUUUCAUGGACCAUUCGAUAUCAGAUUGAGUCCAAAACUUGGGGGACAUCAUAGUAUUGUGGGAGGAGUCAUUUGGUGGCUUUUGGGUGAAAUCCAAUCCAGACAACUAUAAAAUACACCGACCACUCCAUUUCAGAACGACCUUCAUACGAACUUGAACUGUCAGAUUUCAUUGACUAAUCGAUAUCGGAUUGAGUCCAAAACUUGGGGAACACCAUAAUAUUAUGGGAGGAGUCAUUUGGUGGGUUUUGAGUGAAAUCCAAUCUCUAGAACUAUACAAUACACCGACCACCCCAUUUCAGAACAAACUUCGUACGAACCUGAAUUGUCCGAUUUCAAGGACCAAUCGAUAUCGGAUUGAGUCCAAAACUUGGGGAACAUCAUAAUAUUGUGGGAGGAGUCAUUUGGUGGGUUUUGAGUGAAAUCCAAUCCCUAGAACUAUACAAUACACCAACCACCCCAUUUCAAAACGAACUUCGUACGAAACUGAAUUGUCUGAUUUCAUUGACCAAUUGAUCACAGAUUGAGUCCAAAACUUGGGGAACAUCAUAAUAUUGUGGGAGGAGUCAUUUGGUAAGUUUUCAGUGCAAUACAAUCCCUAGAACUAUACAAUACACCAACCACUCCAUUUCAGAACGAACUUCGUACAAACCUGAAUUGUCAAAUUUCGUGGACCACUCGAUAUCCGAUUGAGUCCGAAACUUGGGGAACAUCAUAAUAUUGUGGGAGGAGUCAUUUGGUGGGUUUGAGUGAAAUCCAAUCUCUAGAACUANNNNNNNNNNNNNNNNNNNNNNNNNNNNNNNNNNNNNNNNNNNNNNNNNNNNNNNNNNNNNNNNNNNNNNNNNNNNNNNNNNNNNNNNNNNNNNNNNNNNUGGGGAACAUCAUAAUAUUGUGGGAGGAGUCAUUUGGUGGGUUUCGAGUGAAAUCCAAUCUCUAGAACUAUACAACACACCAACCACCCCAUUACAGAACGAACUUAGUAGGAACCUGAUUUGUCCGAUUUCAAGGACCAAUAGAUAUAGGAUUGACUCCAAAACUUGGGGAACAUCAUAAUAUUGUGGGAGGAGUCAUUUGGUGUGUUUUUAGUGAAAUCCAUUCUCUAGAACUAUACAAUACACCAACCACCCCAUUUCAGAAGGAACUUCGUACGAGCCUGAAUUGUCCGAUUUCAAGGACAAAUCGAUAUCGGAUUGAGUCCAAAACUUGGGGAACAUCAUAAUAUUGUGGGAGGAGUCAUUUGGUGGGUUUUGAGUGAAAUUCAAUCUCUAGAAUGAUACAAUACACCAACCACCCCAUUUCAGAAUGAACUUCGUACGAAUCUGAAUUGUCAGAUUUCAAGGUCCAAUCGAUAUCGGAUUGAGUCCAAAAAUUGGGGAACAUCAUAAUAUUGUGGGAGUUGUCAUUUGGCGGGUUUUGAAUGAAAUCCAAUCCCUAGAACUAUCCAAUACACCAACCCCUCCACUUCAGAAGGAACUUCAUACGAACUUGAAUUGUCAAAUUUCGUAGACCAAUCGAUAUCGGAUUGUGUCCAAAACUUGGGGAACAUCAUAAUAUUGUGGGAGCCGUCAUUUGGUGGGUUUUGAGUGAAAUCCAAUCUUUAGAACUAUACAAUACACCAACCACUCCAUUUCAUAACGAACUUCGUACUAACCUGCAUUCUCAAAUUUCGUGGACUGAUCGAUAUCGGAUUGAGUCCAAAACUUGGGGAACAUUAUAAUAUUGUGGGAGGAGUCACUUGGUGGGUUUUGAGUGAAAUCCAAUCUCUAGAACUAUACAAUACACCAACCACCCCAUUUCAGAAUGAACUUCGUAGGAACCUGAAUUGUCCGAUUUGAAGGACCAAUCGACAUCGGAUUGAGUCCAAAACUUGGGGAACAUCAUAAUAUUGUGGGAGGAGUCAUUUGGUAAGUUUUGAGUGAAAUACAAUCCCUAGAACCAUACAAUACACCACCCACUACAUUUCAGAACGAACUUCGUACGAACUUGAAUUGUCAAAUUUCGUGGACCGAUCGAUAUCGGAUUGAGUCCAAAACUUGGGGAGCAUAAUAAUCUUGUGGGAGGAGUCAUUUGGGGGGUUUUGAGUGAAAUCCAUUCUCUAGAACCAUACAAUACACCAACCACCCCAUUUCAGAACGAACUUCGUACGAACCUGAAUUGUCCGAUUUGAAGGACCAAUCGAUAUCGGAUUGAGUCCAAAACUUGGGGAACAACAUAAUAUUGUGGGAGGAGUCAUUUGGUUCGUUUUGAUUGAAAUCCAAUCUCUAGAACUAUACAAUACACCAACCACCCCAUUUCAGAACGAACUUCGUAGGAACCUGAAUUGUCCGAUUUCACGGACCAAUCGAUAUCGGAUUGAGUCCAAAACUUGGGGAACAUCAUAAUAUUGUUGGAGGAGUCAUUUGGUGGGUUUUGAGUGAAAUCCAAUCUCUAGAAUUAUACAAUACACCAACCACCCCAUUUCAGAACGAACUUCGUACGAACCUGAANNNNNNNNNNNNNNNNNNNNNNNNNNNNNNNNNNNNNNNNNNNNNNNNNNNNNNNNNNNNNNNNNNNNNNNNNNNNNNNNNNNNNNNNNNNNNNNNNNNNNNNNNNNNNNNNNNNNNNNNNNNNNNNNNNNNNNNNNNNNNNNNNNNNNNNNNNNNNNNNNNNNNNNNNNNNNNNUAAGGACCAAUCGAUAUCGGAUCAGUCCAAAACUUGGGGAACAUCAUAAUAUUGUGGAGGGAGCCAUUUGGUAAUUUUUGAGUGAAAUACAUUCCCAAGAACUAUACAAUUCACCACCCAGUCAAUUUCAGAACGAAAUUGAUGGGAACUUGAAUAUUCAAAUUUCAUGGACCAAUUAAUAUCGGAUUGAUUCCAAAACUUGGGGAAAAUCAUAAUUUGUUGGGGGUAGUCAUUUGGGGGGUUUUGAGUGAAAUCCAUUCUCUGGAACUAUCCAAUACACCAACCACCCCAUUUCAGAAGGAAUUUGGUACGAACCUGAAUGUCCGAUUUGAAGGACCAAUCGAUAUCGGAUUGAGUCAAAAACUUGGGGAACACCAUAAUAUUGUGGGAGGAGUCAUUUGGUUCGUUUUGAGUGAAAUCCAAUCUCUAGAAUUAUACAAUACACCAACCACCCCAUUUCAGAAUGAACUUCGUAGGAACCUGAAUUGUCCGAUUUCAAGGAGCAAUCGAUAUCGGAUUGAGUCCAAAACUUGGGGAACAUCAUAAUCUUGUGGGACGAGUCAUUUGGUGGGUUCUGAGUGAAAUCCAAUCUUUAGAACUAUACAAUACACCAACCACCCCAUUUCAGAAUGAACUUCGUCGGAACCUGAAUUGUCCGAUUUUAAGGACCAAUCGAUAUCGGAUUGAGUCCAAAACUUGGGGAACAUCAUAAUAUUGUGGAAGGAACCAUUUGGUAAGUUUUGAGUGAAAUACAAUCCCCAGAACUAUACAAUUCACCACCCACUCAAUUUCAGAACGAACUUCGUGCGAACUUGAAUUGUCAAAUUUCGUGGACCGAUCGAUAUCGGAUUGAGUCCAAAACUUGGGGAGCAUCAUAAUCUUGUGGGAUUAGUCAUUUGGGGGGUUUUGAGUGAAAUCCAUUCUCUAGAACUAUACAAUACACCAACCACCCCAUUUCAGAACGAACUUCGUACGAACCUGAAUGUCCGAUUUGAAGGACCAAUCGAUAUCGGAUUGAGUCCAAAACUUGGGGAACACCAUAAUAUUGUGGGAGGAGUCAUUUGGUUCAUUUUGAGUGAAAUCCAAUCUCUAGAAUAUACAAUACACCAACCACCCCAUUUCAGAAUGAACUUCGUACGAACCUGAAUUGUCCAAUUUCAAGGACCAAUCGAUAUCGGAUGAGUACAAAAGUUGGGGAACGUCAUAAUAUUGUGGGAGGAGUCAUUUGGUGGGUUUUGAGUGAAAUACAAUCUCUAGACCUAUACAAUACACCAACCACCCCAUUUCAGAACGAACUUCGUACGAACCUGAAUUGUCCGAUUUCAAGGACCAAUCGAUAUCGGAUUGAGUCCAAAACUUGGGGAACAUCAGAAUAUUGUGGGAGCAGUCAUUUGGUGCGUUUUGAGUGAAAUCCAAUCUUUAGAACUAUACAAUACACCAACCACCUCAUUUCAGAACGAACUUCGUACGAACCUGAAUUGUCCAAUUUCAAGGACCAAUCGAUAUCGGACUGAGUACAAAGGUUGGGGAACGUCAUAAUAUUGUGGGAGGAGUCAUUUGGUGGGUUUUGAGUGAAAUCCAAUCUCUAGACCUAUACAAUACACCAACCUCCUCAUUUUAGAACGCACUUCGUACGAAUCUGAAUUGUCCGAUUUGAAGGACCAAUUGAUAUCGGAUUGAGUCCAAAACUUGUGGAACAUCAUAAUCUUGUGGGAGGAGUCAUUUGGUGGUUUUGAGUGAAAUCCAAUCUCUAGAACUAUACAAUACACCAACCACCCCAUUUCAGAAUGAACUUCGUAGGAACCUGAAUUGUCCGAUUUCAAGGACCAAUCGAUAUCGGAUUGAGUCCAAAACUUGGGGAACAUCAUAAUAUUGUGGGAGGAGUCAUUUGGUAAGUUUUGAGUGAAAUACAAUCCCCAGAACCAUACAAUUCACUGCCCAUUCCAUUUAGAACGAAUUAGUAAAAACGUGAAUUGUCAAAUUUUGUGGACCGAUGGAUUCGGAUUGAGUCCAAAACUUGGGGAGCAUCAUAAUCUUGUGGGAGGAGUCAUUUGGGGGGUUUUGAGUGAAAUCCAUUCUCUAGAACUAUACAAUACACCAACCACCCCAUUUCAGAACGAACUUCGUACGAACCUGAAUUGUCCGAUUUGAAGGACCAAUCGAUAUCGGAUUGAGUGCAAAACUUGGGGAACACCAUAAUAUUGUGGGGGGAGUCAUUUGGUUCGUUUUGAGUGAAAUCCAAUCUCUAGAAUUAUACAAUACACCAACCACCCCAUUUAAAAAUGAACUUCGUAGGAACCUGAAUUGUCCGAUUUCAAGGACCAAUCGAUAUCGGACUGAGUCUAAAGGUUGGGGAACAUCAUAAUAUUGUGGGAGGAGUCAUUUGUUGGUUUUGAGUGAUAUCCAAUCUCUAAAACUAUACAAUACACCAACCACCCCACUUAUGAACGAACUUCGUACGAACCUGAAUUGUCCGAUUUCAAGUACCAAUCGAUAUCGGAUUGAGUCUGAAACUUGGGGAACAUCAUAAUAUUGUGGGAGGAAUCAUUUGGUGGGUUUUGACUGAAAUCCAAUCUCUAGACCUAUACAAUACACCAACCUCCUCAUUUCAGAACGAACUUCGUACGAACUUGAAUUGUCCGAUUUCAAGGACCAAUUGAUAUCGGAUUGAGUCCAAAACUUGGGGAACAUCAUAAUCUUGUGGGAGGAGAAAUUUGGUGGUUUUGAGUGAAAUCCAAUCUCUAGAACUAUACAAUACACCAACGACUCCAUUUCAGAACGAACUUCGUACGAACCUGAAUUGUCCGAUUUCAUUGACCAGUCGAUAACGGAUUGAGUCCAAAAGAUGGGGAACAUCAUAAUAUUGUGGGAGGAGUCAUUUGGUAUGUUUUGAGUGAAAUACAAUCCCUAGAACUAUACAAUACACCAACCACUCCAUUUCAGAAUGAACUUCGUACGAACCUGAAUUGUCAAAUUUCGUGGACCGAUCGAUAUCGGAUUGAGUCCAAAACUUGGGGAACAUCAUAAUAUUGUGGGAGGAGUCAUUUGGUGCGUUUUGAGUGAAAUCCAACCUCUAGAGCUAUACAAUGCACCAAUCACCCCAUUUCAGAACGAACUUCGUACGAACAUGAAUUGUCCGAUUUCAAGGACCAAUCGAUAUCGGAUUGAGUCCAAAAGUUGGGAAACAUCAUAAUAUUGUGGGAGGAGUCAUUUGGUGGGUUUUGGGUGAAAUCCAAUCUCUAGACCUAUACAAUACACCAACCUCCUCAUUUCAGAACGAACUUCGUACGAACCUGAAUUGUCCGAUUUCAAGGACCAAUCUAUAUCGGACAGAGUCCAAAAGUUGGGGAACGUCAUAAUAUUGUGGGAGGAAUCAUUUGGUAAGUUUUGAGUGAAAUACAAUCCCCAGAACCAUACAAUACACCAACCACCCCAUUUCAGAACGAACUUUGUACGAACCUGAAUUCUCCGAUUUCAAGGACCAAUCGAUAUUGGAUUGAGUCCAAAACUUGGGGAGCAACAUAAUCUUGUGGGAGGAGUAAUUUGGUGGGUUUUUAGUGAAAUCCAAUCUCUAGAACUAUACAAUACACCACCCACCCCAUUUCAGAACGAACUUCGUACGGACCUGAAUUGUCCGAUUUCAAGGACCAAUCGAUAUCGGAUUGAGUCCAAAACUUGGGGAACAUUAUAAUAUUGUGGGAGGAGUCACUUGGUGGGUUUUGAGUGAAAUCCAAUCUCUAGAACUAUACAAUACCCCAACCACCCCAUUUCAGAACGAACUUCGUAGGAACCUGAAUUGUCCGAUUUCAUGGACCAAUCGAUAUCGGAUUGAGUCCAAAACUUGGGGAAUAUCAUAAUAUUGUGGGAGGAGUCAUUUGGUGGGUUUUGAGUGAAAUCCAAUCUCUAGAACUGUACAAUACACCAACCACCCCAUUUCAGAACUAACUGCGUACGAACCGAAUUGUCCGAUUUCUAGGACCAAUCGAUAUCGGAUUGAGUCCAAAACUUGGGGAAUAUCAUAAUAUUGUGGGAGGAAUCAUUUGGUGGGUUUUGAGUGAAAUCCAAUCUCUAGAACUGUACAAUACACCAACCACCCCAUUUCAGAACGAACUUCGUACGAACCCGAAUUGGCCGAUUUCAAGGACCAAUCGAUAUCGGAUUGAGUCCAAACCUUGGGAACAUCAUAAUAUUGUGGGAGGGGUCAUUUGGUGGGUUUUGAGUGGAAUCCAAUCUCUAGAACUGUACAAUACACCAACCACCCCAUUUCAGAACGAACUUCGUACGGACCCGAGUUGUCCGAGUUCAAGGACCAAUCGAUAUCGGGAUUGAGUCCAAACCUUGGGAACAUUAUAAUAUUAUGGGAGGAGUCAUUUGGUGGGUUUUGAGUGAAAUGCAAUCUCUAGAACUAUACAAUACCCCAACCACCCCAUUUCAGAACGAACUUCGUAAGAACCUGAAUUGUCCGAUUUCAUGGACCAAUCGAUAUCGGAUUGAGUCCAAAACUUGGGGAAGAUCAUAGUAUUGUGGGAGGAGUCAUUUGGUGGGUUUUGAGUGAAAUCGAAUCUCUAGAACUAUACAACACACCAACCUCCCCAUUUCAGAACGAACUUCGUACGAACCUGAAUUGUCCGAUUUCAGGGACCAAUCGAUAUCGGAUUGAGGGGGGGAACUUGGGGAACAUCAUAAUAUUGUGGGAGGAGUCAUUUGGUGGGUUUUGAGUGAAAUCCAAUCUCUAGAAUUAUACAAUACACCAACCACCCCAUUUCAGAAUGAACUUUGUAGGAACCUGAAUUGUCCGAUUUCAAGGACCAAUCGAUAUCGGACUGAGUCCAAAACUUGGGGGAACAUCAUAAUAUUGUGGGAGGAGUCAUUUGGAAUGUUUUGAGUGAAAUACAAUCCCUAGAACUAUACAAUACACCAACCACUCCAUUUCAGAACGAACUUCGUACGAACCUGAAUUGUCAACUUUCGUGGACCGAUCGAUAUCGGAUUGAGUCCAAAACUUGGGGAACAUCAUAAUAUUUUGGGAGGAGUCAUUUGGUACAUUUUGAGUGAAAUCCAACCUCUAGAACUAUACAAUGCACCAACCACCCCAUUUCAGAACGAAUUUCGUAGGAAACUGAAUUGUCCGAUUUUAAGGACCAAUUGAUAUCGGAUUGAGUCCAAAACUUGGGGAACUGUCGUGGGAGGAGUCAUUUGGUGGGUUUUGAGUGAAAUCCAAUCUCUAGAACUAUACAAUACACCAAUCACCCCAUUUCAGAACGAACUUCGUACGAAUAUGAAUUGUCCGAUUUCAAGGACCAAUCGAUAUCGGACAGAGUCCAAAAGUUGGGGAACGUCAUAAUAUCGUGGGAGGAGUCAUUUGGUGGGUUUUGAGUGAACUCCAAUCUCUAGACCUAUACAAUACACCAACCUCCUCAUUUCAGAACGAACUUCGUUCGAACAUGAAUUGUCCGAUUUCAAGGACCAAUUGAUAUCGGACUUAGUCCAAAACUUGGGGAACAUCAUAAUCUUGUGGGAGGAGUCAUUUGGUGGUUUUGAGUGAAAUCCAAUCCCUAGAACUAUACAAUACACCAACCACCCCAUUUCAGAAUGAACUUUCGUAGGAACCUGAAUUGUCCGAUUUCAAGGACCAAUCGAUAUCGGACUGAGUCCAAAAGUUGUGGAACAUAAUAAUAUUGUGGCAGGAGUCAUUUGGUGGGUUUUGAGUGAAAUCCAAUCUUUAGAAUUAUACAAUACACCAACCACCCCAUUUCAGAAUGAACUUCGUAGGAACCUGAAUUGUCCGAUUUCAAGGACCAAUCUAUAUCGGACAGAGUCCGAAAGUUGGGGAACAUCAUAAUAUUGUGGGAGGAGUCAUUUGGUGGGUUUUGAGUGAAAUCCAAUCUCUAGACCUAUACAAUACACCAACCUCCUCAUUUCAGAACGAACUUCGUACGAACUUGAAUUGUCCGAUUUCAAGGACCAAUUGAUAUCGGAUUGAGUCCAAAACUUGGGGAACAACAUAAUCUUGUGGGAGGAGUCAUUUGGUGGGUUUUGAGUGAAAACCAAUCUCUAGAACUAGACAAUACACCAACCACCCCAUUUCAGAAUGAACUUUGUAGGAACCUGAAUUGUCCGAUUUCAAGGACCAAUCGAUAUCAGAUUGAGUCCAAAACUUCGGGAACAUCAUAAUAUUGUGGGACGAGUCAUUUGGUAAGUUUUGAGUGAAAUAGAAUCCAAAGAACCAUACAAUACACCACCCACUCCAUUUCAGAACGAACUUCGUACGAACCUGAAUUGUCAAAUUUCGUGGACCGAUCGAUAUCGGAUUGAGUCCAAAACUUGGGAAGCAUCGAAAUCUUGUGGGAGGAGACAUUUGGUGGGUUUUGAGUGAAAUCCAAUCUCUAGAACUAUACAAUACACCAACCACCCUAUUUCAGAACGAACUUCGUACGAACCUGAAUUGUUCGAUUUCGAGGACCAAUCGAUAUCGGAUUGAGUCCAAAACUUGGGGAACAUUAUAAUAUUGUGGGAGGAGUCAUUUGGUGGGUUUUGAGUGAAAUCCAAAAUCUAGAACAAUACAAUACCCCAACCACCCCAUUUCAGAACGAACUUUGUAGGAACCUGAAUUGUCCGAUUUCAAGGACCAAUCGAUAUCGGAUUGAGUUCAAAACUUGGGGAGGAUCAUAAUAUUGUGGGAGGAGUCAUUUGGUAAGUUUUGAGUGAAAUACAAUUCCCAGAACCAUACAAUACACCACCCACCCCAUUUAAGAAGGAACUUCGUACGAACCUGAAUUGUCAAAUUUCGUGGACCGAUCGAUAUCUGAUUGAGUCCAAAACUUGGGGAGCAACAUAAUCUUGUGGGAGGAGUCAUUUGGUGGGUUUUGAGUGAAAUUCAAUCUCUAGAGCUAUACAAUACACCAACCACCCCAUUUAAGAACGAACUUCGUACGAACCUGAAUUGUCCGAUUUCAAGGACCAAUCGAUAUCGGAUUGAGUCCAGAACUUGGGGAGUAACAUAAUCUUGUGGGAGGAGUCAUUUGGUGGGUUUUGAGUGAAAUCCAAUCUCUAGAACUAUACAAUACACCAACCACCCCAUUUCAAAACGAACUUCGUACGAACCUGAAUUGUCCGAUUUCAAGGACCAAUCGAUAUCGGAUUGAGUCCAAAACUUGGGGAACAUUAUAAUAUUGUGGGAGGAGUCAUUUGGUGGAUUUUGAGUGAAAUCCAAUCUCUAGAACUAUACAAUACCCCAACCACCCCAUUUCAGAAUGAACUUCGUAGGAACCUGAAUUGUCCGAUUUUAAGGACCAAUCGAUAUCGGCUUGAGUCCAAAACUUGGGGAACAUCAUAUUAUUGUGGGAGGAAUCAUUUGGUGGGUUUUGAGUGAAAUCCAAUUUCUAGAACUAUACAAUACACCAACCACCCCAUUUCAGAACGAACUUCGUACGAACCUGAAUUGUCCGAUUUCAAGGACCAAUCGAUAUCGGAUUGAGCCCAAAACUUGGGGAACAUCAUGUUGUGAUGGGAGGUGUCAUUUGGUAGGUUUUGAGUGAAAUCCAAUCUCUAGAACUAUGCAAUACGCCAACCACCCCAUGUCAGAACGAACUUCGUACGAACCUGAAUUGUACAAUUUCAAGGACCAAUCGAUAUCGGAUUGAGUCUAAAACUUGGGGAACAUCAUAAUAUGGUGGGAGGAGCCAUUUGGUUGGUUUUGAGUGAAAUCCAAUCUAUAAAACUAUGCAAUAUACCAACCACUCCAUUUCAAAACGAACUUCGUACGAACCUGAAUUGUCCAAUUUCAUGGACCAAUCAAUAUCGGAUUGAGCCCAAAACUUGGGGAACAUCAUGUUGUGAUGGGAGGUGUCAUUUGGUAGGUUUUGAGUGAAAUCCAAUCUCUAGAACUAUGCAAUACGCCAACUACUCCAUUUCAGAACGAACUUCGUACGAACCUGAAUUGUCCAAUUUCAUGGACCAAUUGAUAUCGGAUUGAGUCCAAAACUCGGGGAACAUUAUAAUAUGGCGGGAGUAGUCAUUUGGUUGGUUUUGAGUGAAAUCCAAUCUAUAAAACUGUGCAAUAUACCAACCACCCCAUUUCAGAACGAACUUCGCAUGAACAUGAAUUUUCCAAUUUCAUGGACCAAUCGAUAUUGGAUUGAGUCCAAAACUUGGGGAACAUCAAAACAUGGUGGAAGGAGUCAUUUGGUGAGUUCUGAGUGAAAUCCAAUAUCUAAAACUUUGCAACACGACAACCACUCCAUUUCUGAACGAACUUUGUACGAACCAGAAUUGUGCAAUUUCAUGGACCAAUUGAUAUCGGAUUGAGUCCAAAACUUGGGGAACAUCAUAAUAUGAUGGGAGCAGUCAUUUCAUGAGUUUUGAGUGAAAUCUAUUCUAUAAAACUAUGCAAUACACCAAGCACUGCAUUUCAGAACGAACUUCGUACGAACCUGAAUUGUCCAAUUUCGUGGACCAAUCGAUAUCGGAUUGAGUCCGAAACUUGGGGAACAUCAUAAUAUGGUGGGAGGAGUCAUUUCGUGUGUUUUGAGUGAAAUGCAAUCUCUAAGACUAUGCAAUACAACAACCACUCCAUUUCAGAACGAACUUCGUAUGAACCUGAGUUGUCAAAUUUCAUGGACCAAUCGAUAUCUUAUUGAGUCCAAAACUUGGGGAAUAUCAUAAUAUGGUCGGAGAAGUCAUUUCGUGAGUUUUGAGUGAAAUCUAAUCUCUAAAACUAUGCAAUACACCAACCACUCCAUUUCAGAACGAACUUCGUACGAACCUGAAUUGUGCAAUUUCAUGGACCAAUUGAUAUCAGAUUGAGUCCAAAACUUUGGGAACAUCAUAAUAUGGUGGGAGGAGUCAUUUUGUGAGUUUUGAGUGAAAUCCAAUCUCUAAAACUAUGCAAUACAACAACCACUGCAUUUCAGAACGAACUUUGUACGCACCUGAAUUGUCCAAUUUCAUAGACCAAUCGAUAUCAGAUUGAGUCCAAAACUUGGAAAACAUCAUAAUAUGGUGGGAGGAGUCAUAACGUGAGUUUUGAGUGAAAUCCAAUAUCUAAAACUAUGCAAAAGACAAACCACUCCAUUUCAGAACGAACUUCGUACGAACCUGAAUUGUCCAAUUUCGUGUACCAAUUGAUAUCGGGUUGAGUCCAAUACUUGGGGAACGUCAUAAUAUGGCGGGAGGAGUCAUUUGGUGAGUUUUGAGUGAAAUGCAAUCUCUAAAACUAUGCAAUACAACAACCACUCCAUUUCAGAACGAACUUCGUACGAACCUGAAUUGUCCAAUUUCCUGGACCAAUCGAUAUCGGAUUGAGUCCAAAACUUGGGGAACAUCAUAGUAUGGUGGGAGGUGUCAUUUGGUAGGUUUUGAGUGAAAUCCAAUCUCUAGAACAAUGCAAUACGCCAACCACUCUAUUUCAGAAUGAACUUCGUACAAACAUGAAUUACCCAAUUUCAGCAACCCAUCGAUAUGGGAUUGAGUCCAAAACUUGGGGAACAUCAGAAAAUGGUGGGAGGAGUCAUUUGGAGCUCUUUGAGUGAAUUCCAAUCUCUAAAACUAUGCAAUACACCAACCACUCCAUUUCAGAACGAACUUUGUACGAACCGGCAUUGUCCAAUUUCACGGACCAAUCAAUAUCGGAUUGAGUCUGAAACAUAGGGAACAUCAUAAUAUGGUGGGAGGAGCCAUUUGGUGCUCUUUGAGUGAAAUCCAAUGUGUAGAACUAGGCAAUACACCAACCACUCCAUUUCAGAAAGAACUUCGUACCAACCGGAAUUGUUCAAUUGGACAGACCAAUCGAUAUCGGAUUGAGUCCAAAACUUGGGAAACACCAUAGUAUGAUGGGAGGAGUCAUUUGGUAGGUUUUGAGUGAAAUCCAAUAUCUAAAACUAUGCAAAACACCAACCACCCCAUUUCAAAACGAACUAUGUAUGAACCUGAAUUGUCUAAUUUCAUGGAUCAAUCGAUGUUGGAUUGCGGCAAAAACUUGGGGAACAUCAUAAUAUGAUGGGAGGACUCAUUUGCUUAGUUUUGAGUGAAAUCCAAUGUCUAAAACUAUGCAACACACCAACCACUCCAUUUUAGAACGAACUUCGUACGAACCUGAAUUGUACAAUUUUUUGGACAAAUCGAUUUCGGAUUGAACCCAAAGCUUGGGGAACAUCAUAAGAUGGUGGGAGGGCUCAUUUGGUAGGUUUUGAGAGAAAUCCAAUAUCUAGAACUAUGCAAUAAAAUAACCACUCCAUUUCUUAAUGAACUUCGUACGAACCUGAAUUGUUCAAUUUCAUUGGCCAAUCGAUAUCGGAUUGAGUCCAAAACUUGGGGAACGUCAUAAUACGGUGGGAGGAGUCAUUUGGUUUGUUUUGAGUGAUAUCGAAUCUCUCUAGAACUGGGCAAUACACCAACAACUCCAUUUCAGAAUGAAAUUCGUACGAACCUGAAUUGUCCGAUUUCAUGGACCAAUCAAUAUGGGAUUCAGUACAAAACUUGGGGAAUAUCAUAAUAUGGUGGGGGGAGCCGUUUGGUUGGUUUUGAGAGAAAUCCAAUCUCUAGAACUGUGCAAUGCACCAACCAAUACAUUUCAGAACAAAAAUCGUACGAACCUGAAUUGUCCAAUAUCUUAGCCCAAUCCAUAUCGGAUUGAGCCUAAAACUUGGGCAACAUCAUAAUAUGGUGGGAGGAGUCAUUUGGUAGGUUUUGAGAGAAAUCCAAUCUCUAAAACAAUGCAAUACACCAACCACACCAUUUCAGAACAAAGUUCGUACGAACCUAAAUGCUCCAACUUCAUGGACCGAUCGAUAUAGGAUUGAGUCCAAAACUUGGGCAAGAUCAGCAUAUGGUGGGAGGAGUCAUUUGGUGAGUUUUGUGAGAAAUCCAAUCAAUAAAAUUACGCAAUACACCAACCACUCCAAUUACAUGGGCCAAUCGAUGUUAGAUUGUGUGCAAAACUUGGGGAACAUCGUACUAUGGUGGGAGGAGUCAUUUGGAAGGUUUUGAGUGAUUUCCAAUCUCUAGAACUAUGCAAUGAACCAAAAACUCCAUUUCGGAACGACCUUCGUAUGAACCUGAAUUGUCCAAUUUUUUGGAAAAAUAGAUAACGGAUUGAGCCUAGAACUUGGGGAACAUCAUAAUAUGGUGGGAGGAGUCAUUUGGUUUGUUUUCAGUGAAAUCCAAUCUCUAGAACUGUGUAAUACACCAACCACUCCAUUUCAGAAUGAACUUCAUACGAAACUGAAUUGCCCAAUUUCAUGGACCAAUCAAUAUCAGAUUGAGUCGAAAACAAGGGAAACAUCAUAAUAUGGUGGGAGGAGUCAUUUGGUGAGUUUUGUGAGAAAUCCAAUCAAUAAAAUUACGCAAUACACCAACCACUCCAAUUACAAGGACCAAUCGAUGUUAGAUUGUGUCCAAAACUUGGGGAACAUCAUAAUAUGGUGGGAGGAGUCAUUUGGAAGGUUUUGAGUGAUUUCCAAUCUCUAGAACUAUGCAAUGAACCAAAAACUCCAUUUCGGAACGACCUUCGUACGAACCUGAAUUGUCCAAUUUUUUGGAAAAAUAGAUAACGGAUUGAGCCCAGAACUUGGGGAACAUCAUAAUAUGGUGGGAGGAGUCAUUUGGUUUGUUUUCAGUGUAAUCCAAUCUCUAAACCUAUGCAAUACACCAACCACUCCAUUUCAGAACGAACCUCGUACGAACCUGAAUUGUCCAAAUUUUUUGGAAAAAUAGAUAACGGAUUGAGCCCAGAACUUGGGGAACAUCGUAAUAUGGUGGGAGGAGUCAUUUGGUUGGUUUUCAGUGAAAUUCAAUCUCUAGAACUGUGCAAUACACCAGCCACUCCAUUUCAUAAUGAACUUCGUACGAAACUGAAUUGUUCAAUUUCAUGGACCAAUCAAUAUCGGAUUGAGUCGAAAACAAGGGAAACAUGAUAAUAUGGUGGGAGGAGUCAUUUGGUGAGUUUUGUGAGAAAUCCAAUCAAUGAAAUUACGCAAUACACCAACCACUCCAAUUACAUGGACCAAUCGAUGUUAGAUUAUUUACAAAACUUGGGGAACAUCAUAAUAUGGUGGGAGGAGUCAUUUGGAAGGUUUUGAGUGAAUUCCAUUCUCUAAAACUAUGGAAUGAACCAACCACUCCAUUUCGGAAUGACCUUCGUACGAACCUGAAUUGUCCAAUUUCAUCGACUAAUCGAUAUGGGAUUCAGUCCAAAACUUGGGGAAUAUCAUAAUAUGGUGGGAGGAGUCAUUUGGUUGGUUUUGACUGAAAUCCAAUCUCUAGAACUGUGCAAUACACCAACGAGUCCAUUUCAGAAUGAACUUCGUAUGAAACUGAAUUGUCCAAUUUCAUGGACCAAUCAAUAUCGGAUUGAGUCGAAAACAAUGGAAACAUCAUAAUAUGCUGGGAUGAGUCAUUUGGUGUGAUGUCCAAUCUCUAGAACUAUGCUAUACACAUCCAUUUCAGAACGAUCUUCGUACGAACCUGAAUUGUGCAAUUUCAUGGACCAAUGGACAUCGGAUUGAGUCCAAAACUUGGGGAACAUCAUAAUAUGGUGGGUGGAGUCAUUUGGUGACUUUGGAGUGAGAUCCAAUCUCCAGAACUAUGCUAUACAUCAACCACUCCAAUUCAGAACGAACUUCGUACGAACCUGAAUUGCCCAAUUUCGUUUACCAAUCGAUAUCGGAUUGAACCCAAUUGAGAACGAACUUCGUACGAACCUGAAUUGUCCAAUUUCGUUUACCAAUCGAUAUCGGAUUGAACCCAAAACUUGGAGAACAUCAUAAGAUGCCGGGAGGGCUCAUUUGGUUGGUUUUGAGAGAUAUCCAAUCUCUGGAGCUACGCAAUAAAAUAACCACUCCAUUUCUUAAUGAACUUUGUACGAACCUGAAUUGUUCAAUUUCAUCGACCAAUCGAUAUCCGAUUGAGUCCAAAACUUUGGGAACAUCAUAACAUGGCGGGAGGAGUCAUUUCGUGAGUUUUGAGUGAAAUCUAAUCUCUAAAACUAUGCGAUACACCAACCACUCCGUUUCAGAACGAACUUCGUACGAACCUCAAUUGUCCAAUUUCAUGGACCAAUCGAUAUCGGAUUGAAUCCAAAACUUGGGGAACAUCAUAAUAUGGUGGGAGGAGUGAUUUCGUGCUCUUUGAGUGAAAUCCAAUAUCUAAAACAAUGUAAAACAGAAACCACUCCAUUUCAGAACGAACUUCGUUUGAACCUGAAUUGUCCAAUUUCGUGGACCAAUUGAUGUCGGAUUGAGUCCAAAACUUGGGGAACAUCAUAAUAUGGUGGGAGGAGUCAUUUCAUGAGUUUUGAGUGAAAUCCAAUCUCUAAAACUAUGCAAUACACCAACCACUCCAUUUCAGAACGAACUUCGUACGAACCUGAAUUGUCCAAUUUUAGGGACCAAUCGAUAUCGGAUUGAGCCCAAAACUUGGGGAACAUCAUAAUAUGGUGGGUGGAGUCAUUUGAUUGGUUUUGAGUGAAAUCCAAUCUAUAAAACUAUGCAAUACUCCAACCACUCCAUUUCAGAACGAACUUCGUACGAACCUGAAUUGUCCAAUUUUGUGGACCAAUCGGUAUCGGAUUGAGUCCAAAACUUGGAGAACAUCAUACUGUGGUGGGAGGUGUUAGUUGGUAGGUUUUGAGUCAAAUCCAAUCUCUAGAACUGUGCAAUACGCCAACCACUCCAUUUCAGAACGAGCUUCGUAUGAACAUGAAUUCUCCAAUUUCACGAACCAAUCGAUAUCGGAUUGAGACCAAAACUUGGGGAACAUCAUAGCAAGAUGGGAGGUGUCAUUUGGUAUGUUUUGAGUGAAAUUCAAUCCCUAGAACUAUGCAAUAAGCCAACCACUCCGUUUCAGAACGAACUUCGUACGAACCUCAAUUGUCCAAUUUCAUGGACCAUUCGAUAUCGGAUUGAAUCCAAAACUUGGGGAACAUCAUAAUAUGGUGGGAGGAGUCAUUUGGUGCUCUUUCAGUGAAAUCCAAUAUCUAAAACAAUGUAAAACACAAACCACUCCAUUUCAGAACAAACUUCGUACGAACUUGAAUUGUCCAAUUUCAUGGACCAAUCGAUAUCGGAUUGAAUCCAAAACUUGGGGAACAUCAUAAUAUGGUUGAAGGAGUCAUUUGGUGAGUUUUGAGUGAAAUCCAAUCUCUAAACCUAUGCAAUACACCAACCACUCCAUUUCAGAACGAACUUUGUAUGAACCUGAAUUGUCCAAUUUCAUGGACCAAUCGUUAUGGGAUUGAUUCCAAAACUUGGGGAACAUCAUAUUAUGGUGGGAGGAGUCAUUUGGUGGGUUUUGAGUGAAAUCCAAUCUCUUGCACUAUGCAAUACACCAACCACUUCAUUUAAGAACGAACCUCUUACAAACCUAAAUUGGCCAAUUUCGUGGACCUAUCGAUAUCGGAUUGAGUCCAAAACUUGAGGAACAUCAUAAUAUGGUGGGAGGAGUCAUUUGGUGGGUUUUGAGUGAAAUCCAAUCUCUACAACUAUGCAAUACACCAACAACUCCAUUUCAUAACGAACUUCGUAGGACCUGAAUUGUCCAAUUUCAUGGACAAAUCGAUAUCGGAUUCUGUCCAAAACUUGGGGAACGUCAUAAUAUGAUUGGUGGAGUCAUUUGGUGAGUUUUGACUGAAAUCCAAUGGCUAAAUGAUAAGGUCAUCAUUUCACACAUUUGCCUGCCUUCUUUGCUUAGUAAUUUUGUUUAGCUUCUCUUUAUUUGAGUCUCUUACCUAUGUUUGUGUGUUUGUAGGUUAAGACAGUAAGGGGAUGACAUUUGAUACAAUUCAUGCAUGUUAUGGGCUGAGUGGCACAAGAGGAAUAUGAGCUUAAAGACAAUCAAUUUGAGCCACACCCCUUGUCAGUCCAGUUUCGUAGGUCAUCUUGCAGGCCUCAUUUCAGCAACUUACACAGGUCGGAUGUGUAGACAUCCUUGAUAGAAGUUGUUCCAAUGGGUGUUUGUUAUAACAUAUCCAAAUUUCAGCCCAAUUGGAUAUAUCUGGAGCCCUCAGCACAUCAAAGACUGAACCAAGUCCACAGAAAUGUCAUGUUGGCUGCCAUCACAUUUAAUGUGGCUACAUCCCUAGAGCCAUGUGCUACACAUGGGAGUCAAAUCAGCUCAGAAACUCAGAAAGAUGAAUAAAAGUUAAGCGUUGCAUAAAGAAACCAUACCAAAGCAUGUAUUUGGCAGCUGGAGCAGUUGGGAGCAGCUAAGAGAGGUGUGCUUCACCAGCCAAAGGGGAGGACGAAAUUGCACUCUAUAAAUAGAGAGCUUCAAACUCAUUCAGAGCAGACACACACAUUCACUUCAUCCAUUACUCUCAUACACACAUUCAGAUUCACCACAAAGAGAGAAGGGAGCUUGGAGCUGUCCUGAGAACUUCCUUGCUGCCAUCAUCUAGUUCUUCUCCUCUCUUUAUCCUAUCUAUGUAGUUCAACUUUUCUGUAUUGAUAGUUAUGUCAAACUAAUCCAUUUAGUUAGGGCUUAGGAUGAAGCCCUAGUCAUGAAUAUUCAAUGUUAUGGAUGAUUUUAUAGUUAAUUGAUUUCCUUGCUUUUAUUAUCAAGUUGUUAAUCUACAGUUUAUUAUGUGCUUCAUGUAUGUUUUCUUGGAGUAGCUAACUAGGAUUUUAUGCAUCUAGCACAGGUUGGGAAGGGGUUUAGAUUCACCAAUUCUACUCUUCUUUCACAAGCAACACAUGAAUGGCCUAAGAAUCAUUCAAGGGUUUAGUGGGUUUUUAGUGAAAUCGAAUAUCUAAAACUCUGCAAUAGAUCAACCACUCCAUUUUAGAAUGAACUUCGUACAAACCUGAAUUGUCCAAUUUCAUGGACCAAUCGAUAUCAGAUUGAGUCCAAAACUUGGGGAACAAGAUAAUAUAGAGGGAGGAGUCAUUUGGGGGGUUUUGAGUGAAAUCGAAUCUCUCAAACUAUGUAAUACACCAACCACUCCAUUUCGGAACGAACUUCGUAUGAACCUGAAUUGUGCAAUUUCAUGGACCAAUCGAUAUCGGAUUGAGUCUAAAACUUGGGAAACAUCUGAGUAUGGUGGGAGGAGUCAUUUGGUAGGUUUUGAGUGAAAUCCAAUCUCCAGAACUAUGCAAUACACCAACCACUUAAUUUCAGAACGAACUUUGUACGAACCCGAAUUGUCCAAUUUCAUGGACCAAUCGAUAUCGGAUUGAGUCCAAAACUUGGGGAACAGCAUAAGAUGGUAGGAGUAGUCAUUUGGUGGGUUCUGCGUGAAAUCGAAUAUCUAAAACUAUGCAGUACACCAACCACUCCAUUUCAAAACGAACUUUGUAUAAACCUGAAUUGUCCAAUUUCAUGGACCAAUCGAUAUCGGAUUGAGUCCAAAACUUGGGGAACAUCAUAAUAUGGUGGGAGGAGUCAUUUGGUGAGUUUUGAGUGAAAUCCAAUCGCUAAACUAUGCAAUACACCAACCACUCCAUUUCAUAACGAACUUCGUACGAACUGAAUUGUUCAAUUUCAUGGACCAAUCGAUACAAGAUUCAGUCCAAAGCUUGGGGAACAUGAUAAUGUGGUGGGAGGAGUCAUUUGGUGGGUUUUGAGUGAAAUCGAAUAUCUAAAACUCUGCAAUAGAUCGACCACUCCAUUUUAGAAUGAACUUCGUACAAACCUGAAUUAUCCAAUUUCAUGGACCAAUCGAUAUCGGAUUGAGUCCAAACCUCGGGGAACAUCAUAAUAUGGUGGGAGGUGUCAUUUGGUGGGUUUUGAGCGAAAUCGAAAAUCUAAAACUACGCAACACACCAACCACUCCAUUUCGGAACGAUCUUCGUACGAACCUAAAUUGUCCAAUUUCAUGGACCAAUCGAUAUCGGAUUGAGCCCAAAACUUGGGAAACAUCAUAAUAUGGUAGGGGGUUUCAUUUGGGGGGUUUUAAGUGAAAUCGAAUCACUAAAACUAUGUAAUACACAUACCACUCAAUUUCGGAACGAACUUCGUAUGAACCUCAAUUGUCCAAUUUCAUGGACCAAUCGAUAUCGGAUUGAGUCCAAAACUUGGGGAACAGCAAAAUAUGUGGGAGUAGUCAUUUGGUGAUUUUUGAGUGAAAUCGAAUAUCUAAAACUACGCAAUACACCAAUCACCCCAUUUCAAAAUGAACUUCGUACGAACUUGAAUUGUCCAAUUUCAAGGACCAAUCGAUAUCGGAUUGAGUCCAACACUUGGGGAAAAUCAUAGUAUGGUGGGAGGAGUCAUUUGGUAGGUUUUGAGUGAAAUCCAAUCUCUAGAACUAUGCAAUACACCAACCAUUCCAUUUUAGAACGAAUUUCGUACGAACUUGAAUUGUCCAAUUUGAUGACCAAUCGAUAUCGGAUAGAGCCCAAAACUUAGAGAACUUUAUAAUGUGGUGGGAGCAGUCAUUUAGUGAGUUUUGAGUAAAAUCCAAUCCCUAAAACUAUGCAGCACACCAACCACUCAUUUCGGAACGAACUUCGUACGAACAUGAAUUGUCCAAUUUCAUGGACCAAUCGAUAUUGGAUUGAGCCCAAAACUUGGGGAAGAACAUAAUAUGGUUGCAUUAGUCAUUUGGUGGGUUUUGAGUGAAAUCGAAUCUCUAAAACUAUGCAAUACACCUACCCCUCCAUUUCGGAACGAACUUCGUAAGAACCUGAAUUGUCCAAUUUCAUGGACCAAUUGAUAUCGGAUUGAGUGGGGAACAUCAUAAUAUGGUGGGAGGAGUCAUUUUGGUGCUCUUUGAGUGAAAUCCAAUAUCUACAACUGUGCAAAACAUAAACCACUCCAUUUCUGAACGAACUUUGUACGAACCUGAAUUGUCCAAUUUCAUGGGCCAAUCGAUAUCAUAUUGAGUCAAAAACGUGGGGAACAUCAUAAUAUGGUGGGAUUAGUCAUUUGGUGGAUUUUGAGUGAAAUCGAAUAUCUAAAACUAUGCAACACACCAACCACUCCACUUCAGAAUGAACUUCAUACGAACCUGAAUUGUCCAAUUUCAUGGUCCAAUCAAUAUGGGAUUGAGUCCUAAACUUGGGAAACAUCUGAGUAUGGUGGGAGGAGUCAUUUGGUAGGUUGUAAUUGAAAUCCAAUCUCUAGAACUAUGCACUACACCAACCACUCCAUUUCAGAACGAACUUCGUACGAACCUAAAUUGUCCAAUUUCAUGAACCAAUCGAUAUCGGAUUGAUCCCAAAACUUGGGGAACAUUAUAUUACGGUAAGAGGAGUCUUUUGGUGAGUUUUGAGUGAAAUUCAGUCUCUAAAACUAUGCAACAGACCAACAACUCCAUUUUGGAACAAUCUUCGUACGAACCUGAAUUCAAUUUCAUGGACCAAUCGAUAUCGGAUUGAGCCCAAAACUUGGGGAACAUCAUAAUAUGGUGGGAGGUUUAAUUUGGGGGGGUUUUGAGUGAAAUCGAAUCACUAAAACAAUGUAAUACACCUACCACUCCAUUUCGGAACGAACUUCGUACGAACCUCAAUUGUCCAAUUCCAUGGACCAAUCGAUAUCGGAUUGGGUCCAAAACUUGGGGAACAGCAAAAUAUGGUGGGAGUAGUCAUUUGGUGGUUUUGAAGUGAAAUCGAAUAUCUAAAACUACGCAAUACACCAACCACCCCAUUUCAAAAUGAACUUCGUACGAACCUGAAUUGUCCAAUUUCAAGGACCAAUCGAUAUCGGAUUGAGUCCAAAACUUGGAGAAAAUCAUAGUAUGGUGGGAUGAGUCAUUUGGUAGGUUUUGAGUGAAAUCCAAUCUCCAGAACUAUGCAAUACACCAACCAUUCCAUUUUAGAACGAACUCCGUACGAACCUGAAUUGUCCAAUUUGAUGGACCAAUCGAUAUCGGAUAGAGCCCGAAAAUUAGGAAACUUUAUAAUGUGGUGGAAGGAGUCAUUUGGUGAGUUUUGAGUGAAAUCCAAUCUCUAAAACUAUGCAACACACCAACCACCCAUUUCGGAACGAACUUCGUACGAACCUGAAUUAUCCAAUUUGAUGGACCAAUCGAUAUCGGAUUGAGCCCAAAACUUGGGGAACAACAAAAUAUGGUUGGAGGAGUCAUUUGGUGGGUUUUGAGUGAAAUCGAAUCUCUAAAACUAUGCAAUACACCUACCCCUCCAUUUCGGAACAAACUUCGUACGAACCUAAAUUGUCCAAUUUCAUGGACCAAUCGAUAUCAUAUUGAGUCAAAAACGUGGGGAACAUCAUAAUAUGGUGGGAUUAGUCAUUUGGUGGGUUUUGAGUGAAAUCGAAUAUCUAAAACUACGCAAUACACCAACCACUCCAUUUCAAAACGAACUUCGUACGAACUUGACUUGUCCAAUUUCAUGGACCAAUCGAUAUUGGAUUGAGUCAAAAACGUGGGGAACAUCAUAAUAUGGUGGGGUUUGUCAUUUGGUGGGUUUUGAGUGAAAUAGAAUAUUUAAAACUACGCAAUACACCAACCACUCAAUUUCAGAACGAACUUCGAAAGAACCUGAAUUGUCCAAUUUCAUGGACCAAUCGUUAUCAGAUUGAGCCCAAAACUUGGGGAACAUCAUAAGAUGGUGGGAGGUGUCAUUUGGUUGGUUUUGAGUGAAGUCAAAAAUCUAAAACUAUACAACACACCGACCACUACAUUUCGGAACGAACAUCGUACGAACCUGAAUUGUCUAAUUUCAUGGACCAAUUGAUAUCGGAUUGAGUCCAAAACUUGGGGAACAACAUAAUACGAUGGGAGUAGUCAUUUGGUUGGUUUUGAGUGAAAUCGAAUAUCUAAAACUACGCAAUACACCAACCACUCCAUUUGAGAACGAACUUCGUACGAACCUGAAUUGUCCAAUUUCAUGGACCAAUCGAUAUCGGAUUGAGCCCAAAACAUAGGGAACAUUAUGAUAUGGUGGGAGGACUCAUUUGGUGAGUUUUGUGUGAAAUCCAAUCUCUAAAACUAUGCAACACACCGACCCCUCCAUUUCGGAACGAACUUCGUAAAAACUUGAAUUGUCCAAUUUCAUGGACCAAUCGAUAUCGGAUUGAGUCCAAAAGUUGGGGAAUAUCAUAAUUUGGUGGGAGGAGACAUUUGGUGAUCUUUGAGUGAAAUCCGAUAUCUAAAACUAGGCAAUACACAAACCACUCCAUUUCAAAGAGAACUUCGUACGAACCUGAAUUGUCCGAUUUCAAGGACCAAUCGAUAUAGGAUUGAGUCCAAAACUUGGGGAACAUCAUAAUAUUGUGGGAGGAGUCAUUUGGUGGGUUUUGAGUGAAAUACAAUUCCUAGAACACCAACCACUCCAUUUCAGAUCGAACUUCGUACGAACUUGAAUUGUCCGAUUUCAUUGACCAAUCGAUAUCGGAUUGAGUCCAAAACUUGAGGAACAACAUAAUAUUGUGGGAGGAGGCAUUUGGCAAGUUUUGAGUGAAAUACAAUCCCUAGAACUAUACAAUACACCAACCACUCCAUUUCAGAACAAACUCCGUACGAACCUGAAUUGUCAAAUUUCGUGGACCGUUCGAUAUCGGAUCGAGUCCAGAACUUGGGGAACAUCAUAAUAUUGUGGGAGGAGUCAUUUGGUGGGUUUUGAGUGAAAUCCAACCUCUAGAACUAUACAAUCCACCAACCACCCCAUUUCAGAAUGAACUUCGUUCGAACCUGAAUUGUCCGAUUUCAAGGACCAAUCAAUAUCGGAUUGAGUCCAAAACUUGGGGAACAUCAUAAUAAUGUGGGAGGAGUCAUUUGGUGGGUUUUGAGUGAAAUACAAUCCCUAGAACACCAACCACUCCGUUUCAGAUCGAACUUCAUACGAACUUGAAUUGCCCGAUUUCAUUGACCAAUCGAUAUCGGAUUGAGUCCAAAACUUGGGGAACAACAUAAUAUUGUGGGAGGAGGCAUUUGGUGGGUUUUGAGUGAAAUACAAUCCCUAGAACUAUACAAUACACCAACCACUCCAUUUUAGAACGAACUUCGUACGAACUUGAAUUGUCAAAUUUCGUGGAUCGAUCGAUGUCGGAUUGAGUCCAAAACUUGGGGAACAUCAACAUAUUGUGGGAGGAGCCAUUUGGUAAGUUUUGAGUGAAAUCCAAUCUCUAGAACUAUACAAUACACCAACCACUCCAUUUCAGAACGAACUUCGUACGAACCUGAAUUGUCCGAUUUCAAGGACCAAUCGAUAUCGGAUUGAGUCCAAAACUUGGGGAACAUCAUAAUAUUGUGGGAGGAGUCAUUUGGUGGGUUUUGAGCGAAAUCCAACCUCUAGAACUAUACAAUACACCAACCACCCCAUUUAUGAACGAACUUCGUAGGAACCUGAAUUGUCCGAUUUCAAGGACCAAUCGGUAUCGCAUUGAGUCCAAAACUUUGGGAACAUCAUAAUAUUGUGGGAGGAGUCAUUUGGUGGGUUUUGAGUGAAAUCCAAUUUCUAGAACUAUACAACACACCAACCACUCCAUUUCGGAACGAACUUCGUACGAACCUGAAUUGUCCGAUUUCAAGCACCAAUCGAUAUCGGAUUGAGUCCAAAACUUAGAGAACAUCAUAACAUUGGGGGAGGAGUCAUUUGGUGGGUUUUGAGUGAAAUACAAUCCCCAGAACUAUACAAUACACCAACCACUCCAUUUCAGAACGAACUUCGUACGAACCUGAAUUGUCAAAUUUCGUGGACUGAUUGGUAUCGGAUUCGGUCCAAAACUUGGGGAACAUCAUAAUAGUGUGGGAGGAGUCAUUUGGAGAGUUUUGAAUGAAAUCCAAUCCCUAGAACUAUACAAUACACCAACCACCCCAUUUCAGAACAAACUUCGUACGAACCUGAAUUAUCAAAUUUCGUGGACCGAUCGAUAUCGGAUUGAGUCCAAAACUGGGGCAACAUCAUAAUAUUGUGGGAGGAGUCAUUUGGAGGGUUUUGAGUGAAAUACAGUCCCCAGAACACCAACCACUCCAUUUCAGAACGAACUUCGUACGAACUUGAAUUGCCCGAUUUCAUUGACCAAUCGAUAUUGGUACGAGUCCAAAACUUAGGGAACAACAUAAUAUUGUGGGAGGAGGCAUUUGGUGGGUUUUGAGUGAAAUACAAUCCCUAGAACUAUACAAUACACCAACCACACCAUUUCAGAACGAACUUCGUAUGAAUCUGAAUUGUCAAAUUUCGUGGAUCGAUCGAUAUAGGAUUGAGUCCAAAAAUUGGGGAACAACAUAAUAUUGUGGGAGGAGUCAUUUGGUGGGUUUUGAGUGAAAUCCAAUCUCUAGAACUAUACAAUACACCAACCACCCCAUUUCAGAACGAACUUCGUACGAACCUGAAUUGUCCGAUUUCAAGGACCAAUCGAUAUCGGAUUGAGUCCAAAACUUGGGGACCAUCAUAAUAUUGAGGGAGGAGUCAUUUGGUGGGUUUUGAGUGAAAUCCAAUCUCUAGAACUAUACAAUACACUAACCACCCCAUUUCAGAACGAACUUCGUACGAACCUGAAUUGUCCGAUUUCAAGGACCAAUCGAUAUCGGAUUGAGUCCAAAACUUGGGGAACAUCAUAAUAUUGUGGGAGGAGUCAUUUGGUGGGUUUUGAGUGAAAUCCAAUCUUUAGAACUACACAAUACACCAACCACCCCAUUUAUGAACGAACUUCGUACGAACAUGAAUUGACCGAUUUCAAGGGCCAAUCGAUAUCGGAUUGAGUCCAAAACUUGGGGAACAUCAAAAUAUUAUGGAAGGAGUCAUUUGGUGGGUUUUGAAUGAAAUCCAAUCUGUAGAACUACACAAUACACCAACCACCCCAUUUGUGAACAAACUUCAUACGAACCUGAAUUGUCCGAUUUCAAGGACCAAUCGAAAUCGGAUUGAGUCCAAAACUUGGGGAACAUCAUAAUAUUAUGGGUGGAGUCAUUUGGUGGGUUUUGAGUGAAAUCCAAUCUCUAGAACUAUACAAUACACCAACCACCCCAUUUCAGAACGAACUUCGUAUAAACCUGAAUUGUCCGAUUUCAAGGACCAAUCGAUAUUGGAUUGAGUCCAAAACUUGGGGAACAUCAUAAUGUUGUGGGAGGAGUCAUUUGGUGGGUUGUGAGUUAAAUACAAUCCCUAGAACUAUACAAUACACCAACCACUCCAUUUCAGAACGAACUACGUACGAACCUGAAUUGUCAAAUUUCGUGGACCGAUCGAUAUCGAAUUGAGUCCAAAACUUGGGGAACAAAAUAAUAUUGUGGGAGGAGUCAUUUGGUGGGAUUUGAGUGAAAUCCAAUCUCUAGAACUAUACAAUAUAC
This 38484-nucleotide long non-coding RNA is filed under the name Prunus persica (peach). RNAcentral's name for it is "long non-coding RNA (PPER_LNC001013)". The stretch from base 8558 to 8664 matches the Rfam family "Plant small nucleolar RNA R71". The record is from RNAcentral. Lineage: Eukaryota; Viridiplantae; Streptophyta; Magnoliopsida; Rosales; Rosaceae.